RNAcentral lists this transfer RNA (74 nucleotides) under Candidatus Melainabacteria bacterium RIFCSPHIGHO2_02_FULL_34_12. Its description in RNAcentral is "tRNA-Arg". It matches the Rfam family "tRNA". Rfam says of the family: Transfer RNA (tRNA) molecules are approximately 80 nucleotides in length. Their secondary structure includes four short double-helical elements and three loops (D, anti-codon, and T loops). The record is from RNAcentral. Lineage: Bacteria; Bacillati; Candidatus Melainabacteria.
GGGCCUUUAGCUCAAUUGGAUAGAGCGCCUGGCUUCGAACCAGUAGGUUACGGGUUCAAAUCCUGUAAGGCCCG